Molecule: ribosomal RNA, 531 nt
Filed under: uncultured rumen archaeon
Lineage: Archaea
Description: bacterial SSU rRNA
Rfam family: Archaeal small subunit ribosomal RNA
Source: RNAcentral
AAACUGAGGAUAAUACUGGAUAGGCAAUUAUUCCUGCAAUGGUUUUUUGUUUAAAUGUUUUUUCGCCUAAGGAUGGGUCUGCGGCCGAUUAGGUAGUUGGUUAGGUAAUGGCUUACCAAGCCGUUGAUCGGUACGGGUUGUGAGAGCAAGAGCCCGGAGAUGGAACCUGAGACAAGGUUCCAGGCCCUACGGGGUGCAGCAGGCGCGAAACCUCCGCAAUGUGAGAAAUCGCGACGGGGGGAUCCCAAGUGCCAUUCUUAACGGGAUGGCUUUUCAUAGUGUAAAGAGCUUUUGGAAUAAGGGCUGGGCAAGACCGGUGCCAGCCGCCGCGGUAACACCGGCAGCUCUAGUGGUAGCAGUUUUUAUUGGGCCUAAAGCGUCCGUAGCCGGUUUAAUAAGUCUCUGGUGAAAUCCUGUAGCUUAACUGUGGGAAUAGCUGGAGAUACUAUUAGACUUGAGACCGGGAGAGGUUAGAGGUACUCCCAGGGUAGAGGUGAAAUUCUGUAAUCCUGCGAGGACCGCCUGUUGCGA